GGUUAAGCGACUAAGCGUACACGGUGGAUGCCCUGGCAGUCAGAGGCGAUGAAGGACGUGCUAAUCUGCGAUAAGCGUCGGUAAGGUGAUAUGAACCGUUAUAACCGGCGAUUUCCGAAUGGGGAAACCCAGUGUGAUUCGUCACACUAUCAUUAACUGAAUCCAUAGGUUAAUGAGGCGAACCGGGGGAACUGAAACAUCUAAGUACCCCGAGGAAAAGAAAUCAACCGAGAUUCCCCCAGUAGCGGCGAGCGAACGGGGAGCAGCCCAGAGCCUGAAUCAGUGUGUGUGUUAGUGGAAGCGUCUGGAAAGGCGUGCGAUACAGGGUGACAGCCCCGUACACAAAAAUGCACAUACUGUGAGCUCGAUGAGUAGGGCGGGACACGUGGUAUCCUGUCUGAAUAUGGGGGGACCAUCCUCCAAGGCUAAAUACUCCUGACUGACCGAUAGUGAACCAGUACCGUGAGGGAAAGGCGAAAAGAACCCCGGCGAGGGGAGUGAAAAAGAACCUGAAACCGUGUACGUACAAGCAGUGGGAGCACGCUUAGGCGUGUGACUGCGUACCUUUUGUAUAAUGGGUCAGCGACUUAUAUUCUGUAGCAAGGUUAACCGAAUAGGGGAGCCGAAGGGAAACCGAGUCUUAACUGGGCGUUAAGUUGCAGGGUAUAGACCCGAAACCCGGUGAUCUAGCCAUGGGCAGGUUGAGGGUUGGGUAACACUAACUGGAGGACCGAACCGACUAAUGUUGAAAAAUUAGCGGAUGACUUGUGGCUGGGGGUGAAAGGCCAAUCAAACCGGGAGAUAGCUGGUUCUCCCCGAAAGCUAUUUAGGUAGCGCCUCGUGAAUUCAUCUCCGGGGGUAGAGCACUGUUUCGGCAAGGGGGUCAUCCCGACUUACCAACCCGAUGCAAACUGCGAAUACCGGAGAAUGUUAUCACGGGAGACACACGGCGGGUGCUAACGUCCGUCGUGAAGAGGGAAACAACCCAGACCGCCAGCUAAGGUCCCAAAGUCAUGGUUAAGUGGGAAACGAUGUGGGAAGGCCCAGACAGCCAGGAUGUUGGCUUAGAAGCAGCCAUCAUUUAAAGAAAGCGUAAUAGCUCACUGGUCGAGUCGGCCUGCGCGGAAGAUGUAACGGGGCUAAACCAUGCACCGAAGCUGCGGCAGCGACGCUUAUGCGUUGUUGGGUAGGGGAGCGUUCUGUAAGCCUGUGAAGGUGUGCUGUGAGGUAUGCUGGAGGUAUCAGAAGUGCGAAUGCUGACAUAAGUAACGAUAAAGCGGGUGAAAAGCCCGCUCGCCGGAAGACCAAGGGUUCCUGUCCAACGUUAAUCGGGGCAGGGUGAGUCGACCCCUAAGGCGAGGCCGAAAGGCGUAGUCGAUGGGAAACAGGUUAAUAUUCCUGUACUUGGUGUUACUGCGAAGGGGGGACGGAGAAGGCUAUGUUGGCCGGGCGACGGUUGUCCCGGUUUAAGCGUGUAGGCUGGUUUUCCAGGCAAAUCCGGAAAAUCAAGGCCGAGGCGUGAUGACGAGGCACUACGGUGCUGAAGCAACAAAUGCCCUGCUUCCAGGAAAAGCCUCUAAGCAUCAGGUAACAUCAAAUCGUACCCCAAACCGACACAGGUGGUCAGGUAGAGAAUACCAAGGCGCUUGAGAGAACUCGGGUGAAGGAACUAGGCAAAAUGGUGCCGUAACUUCGGGAGAAGGCACGCUGAUACGUAGGUGAAGCGACUUGCUCGUGGAGCUGAAAUCAGUCGAAGAUACCAGCUGGCUGCAACUGUUUAUUAAAAACACAGCACUGUGCAAACACGAAAGUGGACGUAUACGGUGUGACGCCUGCCCGGUGCCGGAAGGUUAAUUGAUGGGGUUAGCGCAAGCGAAGCUCUUGAUCGAAGCCCCGGUAAACGGCGGCCGUAACUAUAACGGUCCUAAGGUAGCGAAAUUCCUUGUCGGGUAAGUUCCGACCUGCACGAAUGGCGUAAUGAUGGCCAGGCUGUCUCCACCCGAGACUCAGUGAAAUUGAACUCGCUGUGAAGAUGCAGUGUACCCGCGGCAAGACGGAAAGACCCCGUGAACCUUUACUAUAGCUUGACACUGAACAUUGAGCCUUGAUGUGUAGGAUAGGUGGGAGGCUUUGAAGUGUGGACGCCAGUCUGCAUGGAGCCGACCUUGAAAUACCACCCUUUAAUGUUUGAUGUUCUAACGUGGACCCGUAAUCCGGGUUGCGGACAGUGUCUGGUGGGUAGUUUGACUGGGGCGGUCUCCUCCUAAAGAGUAACGGAGGAGCACGAAGGUUGGCUAAUCCUGGUCGGACAUCAGGAGGUUAGUGCAAUGGCAUAAGCCAGCUUGACUGCGAGCGUGACGGCGCGAGCAGGUGCGAAAGCAGGUCAUAGUGAUCCGGUGGUUCUGAAUGGAAGGGCCAUCGCUCAACGGAUAAAAAGGUACUCCGGGGAUAACAGGCUGAUACCGCCCAAGAGUUCAUAUCGACGGCGGUGUUUGGCACCUCGAUGUCGGCUCAUCACAUCCUGGGGCUGAAGUAGGUCCCAAGGGUAUGGCUGUUCGCCAUUUAAAGUGGUACGCGAGCUGGGUUUAGAACGUCGUGAGACAGUUCGGUCCCUAUCUGCCGUGGGCGCUGGAGAACUGAGGGGGGCUGCUCCUAGUACGAGAGGACCGGAGUGGACGCAUCACUGGUGUUCGGGUUGUCAUGCCAAUGGCACUGCCCGGUAGCUAAAUGCGGAAGAGAUAAGUGCUGAAAGCAUCUAAGCACGAAACUUGCCCCGAGAUGAGUUCUCCCUGACCCUUUAAGGGUCCUGAAGGAACGUUGAAGACGACGACGUUGAUAGGCCGGGUGUGUAAGCGCAGCGAUGCGUUGAGCUAACCGGUACUAAUGAACCGUGAGGCUUAACCUU
Molecule: ribosomal RNA, 2905 nt
Filed under: Shigella flexneri
Lineage: Bacteria; Pseudomonadati; Pseudomonadota; Gammaproteobacteria; Enterobacterales; Enterobacteriaceae
Description: 23S ribosomal RNA
Rfam family: Bacterial large subunit ribosomal RNA
Source: RNAcentral